GAUGAACGCUGGCGGCGUGCCUAAUACAUGCAAGUCGAGCGAACAGACGAGGAGCUUGCUCCUUUGACGUUAGCGGCGGACGGGUGAGUAACACGUGGGUAUCCUACCUAUAAGACUGGGAUAACUUCGGGAAACCGGAGCUAAUACCGGAUAAUAUUUCGAACCGCAUGGUUCGAUAGUGAAAGAUGGCUUUGCUAUCACUUAUAGAUGGACCUGCGCCGUAUUAGCUAGUUGGUAAGGUAACGGCUUACCAAGGCAACGAUACGUAGCCGACCUGAGAGGGUGAUCGGCCACACUGGAACUGAGACACGGUCCAGACUCCUACGGGAGGCAGCAGUAGGGAAUCUUCCGCAAUGGGCGAAAGCCUGACGGAGCAACGCCGCGUGAGUGAUGAAGGUCUUCGGAUCGUAAAACUCUGUUAUUAGGGAAGAACAAACGUGUAAGUAACUGUGCACGUCUUGACGGUACCUAAUCAGAAAGCCACGGCUAACUACGUG
Molecule: ribosomal RNA, 497 nt
Filed under: uncultured bacterium
Lineage: Bacteria
Description: partial 16S ribosomal RNA
Rfam family: Bacterial small subunit ribosomal RNA
Source: RNAcentral